This 500-nucleotide ribosomal RNA is filed under the name uncultured bacterium. Its description in RNAcentral is "bacterial SSU rRNA". It matches the Rfam family "Bacterial small subunit ribosomal RNA", at positions 28 to 532 of the family's 1533-position model. The record is from RNAcentral.
GACGAACGCUGGCGGCGUGCCUAACACAUGCAAGUCGAGCGGGGUUGAAGCGAGGGGUAACUCGAGUUUCUACCUAGCGGCGGACGGGUGAGUAACGCGUGGGCAACCUGCCUCAAGGACUGGGAUAACAGCUCGAAAGGGCUGCUAAUACCGGAUAAGCCUAUGGCCUCGCAUGGGGCCAUGAGCAAAGGGGAAACCCGCCUUGAGAUGGGCCCGCGUCCCAUCAGCUAGUUGGUGAGGUGAAGGCUCACCAAGGCGACGACGGGUAGCCGGCCUGAGAGGGUGACCGGCCACACUGGGACUGAGACACGGCCCAGACUCCUACGGGGGGCAGCAGUGGGGAAUCUUGCACAAUGGGCGAAAGCCUGAUGCAGCGACGCCGCGUGAGCGAAGAAGGCCUUCGGGUUGUAAGCUCUGUCUGGAGGGACGAAGGAAGUGACGGUACCUCCGGAGGAAGCCACGGCUAACUACGUGCCAGCAGCCGCGGUAACUGUAGUCGU